Molecule: long non-coding RNA, 1399 nt
Filed under: Salmo salar (Atlantic salmon)
Lineage: Eukaryota; Metazoa; Chordata; Actinopteri; Salmoniformes; Salmonidae
Description: lncRNA (ENSSSAG00000089096.1)
Source: RNAcentral
ACCGAGGUGUUGAAGCUCCGUCGUAGACAGGGGGACCAGUGGAACCGUGCAGACAAGCCCUGGAAGGAGUGGUGGGGGACACAGCCUGAGACAGAGUUGCUCUCUUGCUCUCCAUCCCCCUCACUCGCUCUAUCCCUCUCUUCAUCCCUUUCCCUCUCGCCAUUCCCCUCUCUCUCUCCGUCUCCUCCAAAAAUCUCGGCCUGCCAGACAGCUGAGGUCAAAAGAUCCCCAGAGUCGACCGUCCACUCGAAGUACGGAACACCCAGUUGGCAUGACGACACAGCCUGGAGCUCCUGCUCCACCACCCGCAGGAAGUAGCGCUGCCAGGGCAGGAAGUAGGUGUGGCCACCAGCCUGAGGGGAGAACUCAGCUCUCAGCUUGGUGAAACCGUCCCAUACACCUACAGAAAAACCAACAUGAAAACAAGACUGAUCCAAGGUAUAAUAGAGAACAAAUCUCAGUUAGCUGUACACUUUGGUAGUAAAGAGUUGUAUAUGAGUACCUGGCUAGUAGAGUUAGCUGUAAAAGUGUAUCUAGCUAGUAGAGUAAGCUGUACAGUGUACAUAGCUAGUAGAGAUAGCUGUACAAGUGUACCUAGCUAGUAGAGUUAGCUGUACAAGUGUACCUAGCUAGUAGAGUUAGCUGUACAAGUGUACCUAGCUAGUAGAGUUAGCUGUACAAGUCUAUCUAGCUACUAGAGUAAGCUGUACCGGUGUACCUGGUUAUUAGAGUUAGCAUUAGCUGUAAAGGUAUACCAGGCUAGUAGGGAGUUAGCUAUACAUGUGUACCUAGCUCGUGGGGAGUUUGCUAUACAGGUGUGCCUAGCUAGCUAGGGAGUUAGCUAUACAGGUGUCCCAGGGUUUCCGUUAGGGACAUUUCACCGGAAGCAUUUUAAUUUAAAGCUGUAAACGGAUACCAGAGUAGUAGGGUGUUAGCUAUACAGGUGUACCUCGCUAGUAGGGAGUUAGCUAUACAGGUGUACCUAGCUAGUAGGCAGUUAGCUAUACAGGUGUACCUAGCUAGUAAGGAGUUAGCUAUACAGGUUUACCUAGCUAGUAGGGAGUUAGCUAUACAGGUGUACCUAGCUAGCUAGGGAGUUAGCUGUACAGGUGUGCCUAGCUAGCUAGGGAGUUGGCUAUACAGGUGUACCUAGCUAGUAAGGAGUUAGCUAUACAGGUGUACCUAGCUAGCUAGAGAGUUAGCUGUACAGGUGUACCUAGCUAGCUAGGGAGUUAGCUGUACAGGUAUCCAGGGUUUCUGUUAGGAAGAUGUGGCGCGAGACAUUUGACCGUCAGCCUUUUAAUUUAACGGACAUUUGAAAAAUUUACCAGACCCAUAUGAAUUGGGUGCGUAACCUGAUUAGGGCGUCCACCCACGAUGCUUAGAAUGACAGAAAUCA